CCUACGGGAGGCAGCAGUGGGGAAUAUUGGACAAUGGGGGCAACCCUGAUCCAGCCAUGCCGCGUGUGUGAAGAAGGCCCUCGGGUUGUAAAGCACUUUCAGUGAGGAAGAACGCCUGGUGGUUAAUACCCAUCAGGAAAGACAUCACUCACAGAAGAAGCACCGGCUAACUCCGUGCCAGUAGCCGCGGUAAUACGGAGGGUGCGAGCGUUAAUCGGAAUUACUGGGCGUAAAGCGCGCGUAGGUGGCUUGAUAAGCCGGUUGUGAAAGCCCCGGGCUCAACCUGGGAACGGCAUCCGGAACUGUCAAGCUAGAGUGCAGGAGAGGAAGGUAGAAUUCCCGGUGUAGCGGUGAAAUGCGUAGAGAUCGGGAGGAAUACCAGUGGCGAAGGCGGCCUUCUGGACUGACACUGACACUGAGGUGCGAAAGCGUGGGUAGCAAACAGGAUUAGAUACCCUUGUAGUC
This 465-nucleotide ribosomal RNA is filed under the name Vreelandella stevensii. RNAcentral describes it as "partial 16S ribosomal RNA". It matches the Rfam family "Bacterial small subunit ribosomal RNA", at positions 338 to 795 of the family's 1533-position model. Lineage: Bacteria; Pseudomonadati; Pseudomonadota; Gammaproteobacteria; Oceanospirillales; Halomonadaceae. The record is from RNAcentral.